Long non-coding RNA from Aethalodelphis obliquidens (Pacific white-sided dolphin), 830 nucleotides. RefSeq lists it as uncharacterized. The transcript is spliced from 5 exons. The record is from RefSeq and is a predicted model, not a curated record. NCBI's taxonomy places the organism in Eukaryota, Metazoa, Chordata, Mammalia, Artiodactyla, Delphinidae.
UUGGAGGCGGCUACCAGCGCAAAGCCGAAACUCGCCCGCAAACAGGCUCAGGAGGCUGUGAGUCCGCAGCAGCGGACCCUGGGAAAGCAAGCGAGUUGACGCCACAGCAGCCUUUUGAAGAGGAAAAGCGGAGACCCUCAGCUACAGAUCUUCGAAAUUUCUUACAUGACUUCUGAUCUUCACAACUGUGCAAUCCAUUUUCAAAACGGGAAAAAGACUCAGAAAUCAGAAGUUGUUACGUCUAGAGUCGCUUAUUCACCAUAUUUCAUUGUCUUGAUAGCAUCACUAGACCAUGCAUAAUUCAUGCAUGGGUGUGUUUUAGGGACAAAAAAGUCAAGUAGGAAGAAAAGACAGAUGAUCAAGAACAGAUGAAGAUGAAAACCAAAGAACGACCUACCGAAGAAAGUACCAUUUGAGUCUCCAUCCUCAUGCUUCUGCUGCUGUUGCUGCUGCUGUUGCUGCUGCUCCCUCAGCUGCAAGGAUUCCUGACAAACGUAAAUGGUUAGCCUUGGGCGCACCAUCCUAAGGAGGAAAAAAGAAAGCUGUUACUCUUUCAUGAAAGCUCAUCAAUGUAUCACCAAAGCCUAAUGGCUCAUAACAGGGACAACGGAUAUUUAACUGAAUGAAAAAUGGAAUAUCAUGAGGACCUCCUUGGAUCAAGUACAGGAAAAGAUAUUUUUCAUCUUUAUUUGGCACAUAGCUGGCAUUCAAAAAGAAUGUUUCGACAAGAUGUAUUUAGCUGUACAAAAAGUAUUGCGAAGAGUCCCUGAAUCCAAAUCCAUUUGAAAUCCAGCCCCACUGAUAUUUUACCACUAAUUACAUACCGGCCU